CGGACGGGUGAGUAACGCGUAGGAAUCUACCCAGUAGUGGGGGACAACAUGGUGAAAACCAUGCUAAUACCGCAUACGCCCUAAGGGGGAAAGCGGGGGACCUUCGGGCCUCGCGCUAUAGGAUGAGCCUGCGUCGGAUUAGCUUGUUGGUGAGGUAAAGGCUCACCAAGGCGACGAUCCGUAGCUGGUCUGAGAGGAUGAUCAGCCACACUGGAACUGAGACACGGUCCAG
This 232-nucleotide ribosomal RNA is filed under the name uncultured bacterium. Its description in RNAcentral is "partial 16S ribosomal RNA". It matches the Rfam family "Bacterial small subunit ribosomal RNA", at positions 99 to 334 of the family's 1533-position model. The record is from RNAcentral.